Molecule: ribosomal RNA, 486 nt
Filed under: Peptostreptococcaceae bacterium canine oral taxon 096
Lineage: Bacteria; Bacillati; Bacillota; Clostridia; Peptostreptococcales; Peptostreptococcaceae
Description: bacterial SSU rRNA
Rfam family: Bacterial small subunit ribosomal RNA
Source: RNAcentral
GAGUUUGAUUCUGGCUCAGGAUGAACGCUGGCGGCGUGCCUAAUACAUGCAAGUCGAGCGAGAAUUUCACAAGUGGAGACUUCGGUCAAAGUGAGUGAAAGGAAAGCGGCGGACGGGUGAGUAAUGCGUGGGUAACCUGCCCUUUAGAGAGGGAUAGCAGUUGGAAACGGCUAUUAAUACCUCAUAAGCGCACAGUUUCGCAUGAAACGGUGUGAAAAGAUUUAUCGCUAAAGGAUGGACCCAUGUCCGAUUAGUUAGUUGGUGAGGUAACGGCUCACCAAGACCGCGAUCGGUAGCCGACCUGAGAGGGUGAUCGGCCACAUUGGGACUGAGACACGGCCCAAACUCCUACGGGAGGCAGCAGUAGGGAAUAUUGCACAAUGGGGGAAACCCUGAUGCAGCAACGCCGCGUGAACGAUGAAGGAUUUCGAUCUGUAAAGUUCUUUUGCUAGGAAAGAUAAUGACGUACCUAGCGAAUAAGCACCG